GACGAACGCUGGCGGCGUGCUUAACACAUGCAAGUCGAACGGAAAGGCCCUGCUUUUGUGGGGUGCUCGAGUGGCGAACGGGUGAGUAACACGUGAGUAACCUGCCCUUGACUUUGGGAUAACUUCAGGAAACUGGGGCUAAUACCGGAUAGGAGCUCCUGCUGCAUGGUGGGGGUUGGAAAGUUUCGGCGGUUGGGGAUGGACUCGCGGCUUAUCAGCUUGUUGGUGGGGUAGUGGCUUACCAAGGCUUUGACGGGUAGCCGGCCUGAGAGGGUGACCGGCCAAAUUGGGACUGAGAUACGGCCCAGACUCCGACGGGAGGCAGCAGUGGGGAAUAUUGCAAAAUGGGCGGAAGCCUGAGGCAGCAACGCCGCGUGCGGGAUGACGGCCUUCGGGUUGUAAACCGCUUUCGCCUGUGACGAAGCGUGAGUGACGGUAAUGGGUAAAGAAGCACCGGCUAACUACGUG
RNAcentral lists this ribosomal RNA (468 nucleotides) under uncultured bacterium. RNAcentral's name for it is "partial 16S ribosomal RNA". It matches the Rfam family "Bacterial small subunit ribosomal RNA", at positions 28 to 507 of the family's 1533-position model. The record is from RNAcentral.